RNAcentral lists this ribosomal RNA (253 nucleotides) under uncultured bacterium. RNAcentral's name for it is "partial 16S ribosomal RNA". It matches the Rfam family "Bacterial small subunit ribosomal RNA", at positions 524 to 776 of the family's 1533-position model. The record is from RNAcentral.
UACGUAGGGGGCUAGCGUUGUCCGGAUUUAUUCGGCGUAAAGCGCGUGUAGGCGGUCCGGUAAGUCCGCUGUGAAAGUCGGGGGCUCAACCCUCGGAUGCCGGUGGAUACUGUCGGGCUUGAGUACGGAAGAGGCGAGUGGAAUUCCUGGUGUAGCGGUGAAAUGCGCAGAUAUCAGGAGGAACACCAAUUGCGAAGGCAGCUCGCUGGGACGUUACUGACGCUGAGACGCGAAAGCGUGGGGAGCAAACAGG